Molecule: ribosomal RNA, 471 nt
Filed under: uncultured bacterium
Lineage: Bacteria
Description: bacterial SSU rRNA
Rfam family: Bacterial small subunit ribosomal RNA
Source: RNAcentral
UUACGCACUCCUACGGGAGGCAGCAGUGGGGAAUAUUGCACAAUGGGCGCAAGCCUGAUGCAGCCAUGCCGCGUGUAUGAAGAAGGCCUUCGGGUUGUAAAGUACUUUCAGCAGUGAGGAAGGUGGGUAUGUUAAUAGCAUAUUCAUUUGACGUUAGCUGCAGAAGAAGCACCGGCUAACUCCGUGCCAGCAGCCGAGGUAAUACGGAGGGUGCGAGCGUUAAUCGGAAUUACUGGGCGUAAAGCGCAUGCAGGUGGUUUGUUAAGUCAGAUGUGAAAGCCCGGGGCUCAACCUCGGAAUUGCAUUUGAAACUGGCAAACUAGAGUACUGUAGAGGGGGUAGAAUUUCAGGUGUAGCAGUGAAAUGCGUAGAGAUCUGAAGGAAUACCGGUGGCGAAGGCGGCCCCCUGGACAGAUACUGACACUCAGAUGCGAAAGCGUGGGGAGCAAACAGGAUUAGAUACCCUGGUAG